AGAGCCCAACAAACGGCGAGAAAGUGCCACCUGGAAAUUUGCAAGUCCUCGGAUGGUUUCAGCGGGCUUAGUUCACUUGUAUGCCACCCCAGAGUAUGAGAUCCGUAAAAUGCGGUCCAAAAGAAAAUUAAAAGAGGAUAUUGAAAAGCGUCCACUCAUUAGCGAGAUUAUCCAGAUGCUAGACACUGCAGAAUGAUAUGAGGCCACCAAUCAAUCUAAUUUCUCCAUUAACAAAAUGGUUUGGAGAUCUAUCCUUGUGCGGGAUAGAAGUCAGCAACUACAUUUCAUCUUGUCAGACCAUUUUGCUAUAAUUAAAGAGAAAAAUGAACA
This 330-nucleotide long non-coding RNA is filed under the name Rattus norvegicus (Norway rat). Its description in RNAcentral is "long non-coding RNA NONRATT030061". Lineage: Eukaryota; Metazoa; Chordata; Mammalia; Rodentia; Muridae. The record is from RNAcentral.